UCAAUGGAUCUUUUGAGAUCCACUGUGUGCCAUUUUAAAAAUUAAAU
This is a non-coding RNA of Ficedula albicollis (Collared flycatcher), 47 nucleotides long. Lineage: Eukaryota; Metazoa; Chordata; Aves; Passeriformes; Muscicapidae. The record is from Rfam.